Molecule: long non-coding RNA, 1016 nt
Organism: Peromyscus maniculatus bairdii (prairie deer mouse)
Lineage: Eukaryota; Metazoa; Chordata; Mammalia; Rodentia; Cricetidae
Source: RefSeq, a predicted model, not a curated record
UACCUGUACAUUCUGUUCAUCCCCUGUGAAGGUCAGACUGAGUUUUGGUCAUUGUGGAAGGUGGAGACCACCGAAGAAAACCACAGCUGAACAGUGCAGAGAUAAACACAUCAUAGGGAGCUCAGCCCUCACUGACAGAUAUGUCUACCUCACAGCUCCUGCAUCUGUGGUUCAUGACAGAAGAAGGGGCAGAAAGACUGUGAGAACCAGAACACCAGGAAGUCGGCUAUGAAACUGUCUCUCACAGAAAUGGCUACAUAAGUCCUCACAUCAAAAGUGAGAGCACUGUUGUUGUUAUGAAAACCCAGAACCUCUUCUCAAGCAGAGGCCACAUACUCAUCCAAGUGUCACCGAUGACCUCACAGAAAGCAAUAAGAUCGUUCUUACCCUGUGUAGCUGCCUCUUCUGUACCCAACAUGGGUCAUUCCCUUCUCACCGGCUGACAUGGAGAACUGAAUGGGCUGUUUUCAGAUCUGCUUGGAUACGGAGAGACAGAGAAGACGACACCUGCUCAGCUGCCAUGUUGCCCUGCUGGAGAUUGAACUCAAGGCCUCACACACGCUAGCCAAGCCUUCUGCAGCUGAUGCACACCCCCAGCUCAGUCUUCUCUGGAAACAGGAUACAACCUUUUCUAUACCUCAUGGAGAGAGACGUCCACCCCUGCCCAGUGAUCAAGAUUGCAGGUGAGGGGGGCCAUGCUGGGCUCUUCCCUUGACCAGGAUUGGAUUUAAUUUCCACACAAAACUACCACCCUGUAACCAGGACAUUGUUCUUCAACAGAUACAAUGGUAUUUCAAGCCUUGAAUACAAAUACUCAUCAUGUUAAAUCAACCCUUAUUUUACAAUAAGGGUUAUUUCCCCCAAGUCGUUAGGAGGAAUGCGGUGUAGGCAGUAAGCCCAAUGCUAAUUUCCUCUUUAAAUCCAUGUGGGAACAUUAGUGGCAGGAAUGCCCCAUUUAAUCUUCAUCUUCCAGGACCCCAAGCGCUUACAUUCCUAUCUUCAGACUCCAUAGUUCA